RNAcentral lists this ribosomal RNA (1548 nucleotides) under Salmonella enterica subsp. enterica serovar Nottingham. RNAcentral describes it as "bacterial SSU rRNA". It matches the Rfam family "Bacterial small subunit ribosomal RNA". The record is from RNAcentral. Lineage: Bacteria; Pseudomonadati; Pseudomonadota; Gammaproteobacteria; Enterobacterales; Enterobacteriaceae.
UGAAGAGUUUGAUCAUGGCUCAGAUUGAACGCUGGCGGCAGGCCUAACACAUGCAAGUCGAACGGUAACAGGAAGCAGCUUGCUGCUUUGCUGACGAGUGGCGGACGGGUGAGUAAUGUCUGGGAAACUGCCUGAUGGAGGGGGAUAACUACUGGAAACGGUGGCUAAUACCGCAUAACGUCGCAAGACCAAAGAGGGGGACCUUCGGGCCUCUUGCCAUCAGAUGUGCCCAGAUGGGAUUAGCUUGUUGGUGAGGUAACGGCUCACCAAGGCGACGAUCCCUAGCUGGUCUGAGAGGAUGACCAGCCACACUGGAACUGAGACACGGUCCAGACUCCUACGGGAGGCAGCAGUGGGGAAUAUUGCACAAUGGGCGCAAGCCUGAUGCAGCCAUGCCGCGUGUAUGAAGAAGGCCUUCGGGUUGUAAAGUACUUUCAGCGGGGAGGAAGGUGUUGUGGUUAAUAACCGCAGCAAUUGACGUUACCCGCAGAAGAAGCACCGGCUAACUCCGUGCCAGCAGCCGCGGUAAUACGGAGGGUGCAAGCGUUAAUCGGAAUUACUGGGCGUAAAGCGCACGCAGGCGGUCUGUCAAGUCGGAUGUGAAAUCCCCGGGCUCAACCUGGGAACUGCAUUCGAAACUGGCAGGCUUGAGUCUUGUAGAGGGGGGUAGAAUUCCAGGUGUAGCGGUGAAAUGCGUAGAGAUCUGGAGGAAUACCGGUGGCGAAGGCGGCCCCCUGGACAAAGACUGACGCUCAGGUGCGAAAGCGUGGGGAGCAAACAGGAUUAGAUACCCUGGUAGUCCACGCCGUAAACGAUGUCUACUUGGAGGUUGUGCCCUUGAGGCGUGGCUUCCGGAGCUAACGCGUUAAGUAGACCGCCUGGGGAGUACGGCCGCAAGGUUAAAACUCAAAUGAAUUGACGGGGGCCCGCACAAGCGGUGGAGCAUGUGGUUUAAUUCGAUGCAACGCGAAGAACCUUACCUGGUCUUGACAUCCACGGAAGAAUUCAGAGAUGGAUUUGUGCCUUCGGGAACCGUGAGACAGGUGCUGCAUGGCUGUCGUCAGCUCGUGUUGUGAAAUGUUGGGUUAAGUCCCGCAACGAGCGCAACCCUUAUCCUUUGUUGCCAGCGGUCCGGCCGGGAACUCAAAGGAGACUGCCAGUGAUAAACUGGAGGAAGGUGGGGAUGACGUCAAGUCAUCAUGGCCCUUACGACCAGGGCUACACACGUGCUACAAUGGCGCAUACAAAGAGAAGCGACCUCGCGAGAGCAAGCGGACCUCAUAAAGUGCGUCGUAGUCCGGAUUGGAGUCUGCAACUCGACUCCAUGAAGUCGGAAUCGCUAGUAAUCGUGGAUCAGAAUGCCACGGUGAAUACGUUCCCGGGCCUUGUACACACCGCCCGUCACACCAUGGGAGUGGGUUGCAAAAGAAGUAGGUAGCUUAACCUUCGGGAGGGCGCUUACCACUUUGUGAUUCAUGACUGGGGUGAAGUCGUAACAAGGUAACCGUAGGGGAACCUGCGGUUGGAUCACCUCCUUACCUUAAAGAA